This 291-nucleotide ribosomal RNA is filed under the name uncultured bacterium. Its description in RNAcentral is "partial 16S ribosomal RNA". It matches the Rfam family "Bacterial small subunit ribosomal RNA", at positions 506 to 796 of the family's 1533-position model. The record is from RNAcentral.
UGCCAGCAGCCGCGGUAAUACGAAGGGUGCAAGCGUUACUCGGAAUUACUGGGCGUAAAGCGUGCGUAGGUGGUUUGUUAAGUCUGAUGUGAAAGCCCUGGGCUCAACCUGGGAAUGGCAUUGGAAACUGGCUUACUAGAGUGCGGUAGAGGGUAUCGGAAUUCCCGGUGUAGCAGUGAAAUGCGUAGAUAUCGGGAGGAACAUCCGUGGCGAAGGCGGCUACCUGGACCAGCACUGACACUGAGGCACGAAAGCGUGGGGAGCAAACAGGAUUAGAUACCCUGGUAGUCC